Molecule: unclassified non-coding RNA, 68 nt
Filed under: Flavobacterium micromati
Lineage: Bacteria; Pseudomonadati; Bacteroidota; Flavobacteriia; Flavobacteriales; Flavobacteriaceae
Description: Flavo-1 RNA
Source: RNAcentral
UUGCAGCCCCGAUAGAAGCAAGUAUCCUGCGCUUUUGGGCGCAGAUACUGCGAAUAGCGGGAGAGAAA